AUUCCGGUUGAUCCUGCCGGAGGUCAUUGCUAUUGGAGUCCGAUUUAGCCAUGCUAGUUGCACGAGUUCAGACUCGUAGCAGAUAGCUCAGUAACACGUGGCCAAACUACCCUAUGGAUCCGAAUAACCUCGGGAAACUGAGGCUAAUUCGGAAUACGGCUCACCACCUGGAGUGGUGUGAGCCCGAAACGCUCCGGCGCCAUAGGAUGUGGCUGCGGCCGAUUAGGUAGACGGUGGGGUAACGGCCCACCGUGCCCAUAAUCGGUACGGGUUGUGAGAGCAAGAGCCCGGAGACGGUAUCUGAGACAAGAUACCGGGCCCUACGGGGCGCAGCAGGCGCGAAACCUUUACACUGCACGAAAGUGCGAUAAGGGGACUCCAAGUGCGAGGGCAUAUAGUCCUCGCUUUUUGCGACCGUAAGGUGGUCGCGGAAUAAGUGCUGGGCAAGACCGGUGCCAGCCGCCGCGGUAAUACCGGCAGCACGAGUGAUGACCGCUAUUAUUGGGCCUAAAGCGUCCGUAGCUGGCCAUGCAAGUCCAUCGGGAAAUCCGCGCGCUUAACGCGCGGGCGUCCGGUGGAAACUGCAUGGCUUGGGACCGGAAGACCAGAGGGGUACGUCCGGGGUAGGAGUGAAAUCCCGUAAUCCUGGACGGACCACCGGUGGCGAAAGCGCCUCUGGAAGACGGAUCCGACGGUGAGGGACGAAAGCUCGGGUCACGAACCGGAUUAGAUACCCGGGUAGUCCGAGCUGUAAACGAUGUCUGCUAGGUGUGGCACAGGCUACGAGCCUGUGCUGUGCCGCAGGGAAGCCGUGAAGCAGACCGCCUGGGAAGUACGUCCGCAAGGAUGAAACUUAAAGGAAUUGGCGGGGGAGCACUACAACCGGAGGAGCCUGCGGUUUAAUUGGACUCAACGCCGGACAUCUCACCAGCAUCGACAAUGUGCAGUGAAAGUCAGGUUGAUGACCUUACUGGAGCCAUUGAGAGGAGGUGCAUGGCCGCCGUCAGCUCGUACCGUGAGGCGUCCUGUUAAGUCA
This 1036-nucleotide ribosomal RNA is filed under the name Haloterrigena sp. IARI-SNR. RNAcentral's name for it is "bacterial SSU rRNA". It matches the Rfam family "Archaeal small subunit ribosomal RNA", at positions 1 to 1036 of the family's 1478-position model. The record is from RNAcentral. Lineage: Archaea; Methanobacteriati; Methanobacteriota; Halobacteria; Halobacteriales; Natrialbaceae.